UGGGGAAUUUUGCACAAUGGGCGCAAGCCUGAUGCAGCGACGCCGCGUGAGGGAUGAAGGCCUUCGGGUUGUAAACCUUUUUCGCUCAUGGUCAAGCCGCAGCUUUGGGUUGUGGUGAGGGUAGUGGGUAAAGAAGCGCCGGCUAACUACGUGCCAGCAGCCGCGGUAAUACGUAGGGGGCUAGCGUUAUCCGGAUUUACUGGGCGUAAAGGGUGCGUAGGUGGUCUUUCAAGUCGGUGGUUAAAGGCUACGGCUCAACCGUAGUUAGCCUCCGAAACUGGAAGACUUGAGUGCAGGAGAGGAAAGUGGAAUUCCCAGUGUAGCGGUGAAAUGCGUAGAUAUUGGGAGGAACACCAGUAGCGAAGGCGGCUUUCUGGACUGCAACUGACACUGAGGCACGAAAGCGUGGGUAGCAAACAGG
This 421-nucleotide ribosomal RNA is filed under the name Verrucomicrobiota bacterium. RNAcentral's name for it is "Verrucomicrobia bacterium partial 16S ribosomal RNA". It matches the Rfam family "Bacterial small subunit ribosomal RNA", at positions 355 to 776 of the family's 1533-position model. The record is from RNAcentral. Lineage: Bacteria; Pseudomonadati; Verrucomicrobiota.